RNAcentral lists this transfer RNA (64 nucleotides) under Cavia porcellus (domestic guinea pig). It matches the Rfam family "tRNA", at positions 1 to 62 of the family's 71-position model. Rfam says of the family: Transfer RNA (tRNA) molecules are approximately 80 nucleotides in length. Their secondary structure includes four short double-helical elements and three loops (D, anti-codon, and T loops). Further hydrogen bonds mediate the characteristic L-shaped molecular structure. tRNAs have two regions of fundamental functional importance: the anti-codon, which is responsible for specific mRNA codon recognition, and the 3' end, to which the tRNAs corresponding amino acid is attached (by aminoacyl-tRNA synthetases). tRNAs cope with the degeneracy of the genetic code in two manners: having more than one tRNA (with a specific anti-codon) for a particular amino acid; and 'wobble' base-pairing, i.e. permitting non-standard base-pairing at the 3rd anti-codon position. The record is from Rfam by way of RNAcentral. Lineage: Eukaryota; Metazoa; Chordata; Mammalia; Rodentia; Caviidae.
GGGGAUUUAGCUCAGCGACAAAAGCACCUGCCUUGCAAGCAGGAGGUUGUGAGUUUGAUCCCCG